AAAGAAAAUAACAAUGAUUCCCCUAGUAACGGCGAGCGAAGAGGGAAUAGCUCAAAUUUUAAAUCUGUUGGGUCUUACCUAACCGAGUUGUAAUUUGAAGAAGCGUUUUCUGCGUGUUUGAUUUAGCCCAAAUCCUUUGGGAUAGGGUAUCAUGGAGGGUGAGAAUCCCGUCCGGCCUAAUCAAAUGUGCUUUACGAUACGUUUUCUAAGAGUCGAGUUGUUUGGGAUUGCAGCUCAAAAUGGGAGGUAAAUUUCUCCUAAGGCUAAAUAUAGGCGAGAGACCGACAGCGAACAAGUACCGUGAGGGAAAGAUGAAAAGAACUUUGAAAAGAGAGUUAAACAGUACGUGAAAUUGUUGAAAGGGAAACGAUUAAAGUCAGUCGUACUAACGGGGAAUCAACCUUUUGAGGGUGGACUUGUGGGAUUCAAAGUGUCUUUGUUUUUCACAACCUGCUUUUUUUGGGUGCACUUUCUCGUAUUGUAGGUCAACAUCGGUUUCGAUCGUUAUAAAAUGACUGGAGGAAUGUAGCUUCGGCCUCGGUUGAAGUGUUAUAGCCUUUGGUAAAUGUAACGGAUGGGAUCGAGGAUUGCAAUGAAUACCCUCAUGGGCUAUCCGCCUGGCCUCUGACAUGUCACUCUGGUGCCGAAAGCUUGCUUAUGGUAUUAUAGUGUACGGUCAAAAGGUUAGAACGGAUUAAAUU
This 701-nucleotide ribosomal RNA is filed under the name uncultured Glomeromycotina. RNAcentral's name for it is "eukaryotic LSU rRNA". It matches the Rfam family "Eukaryotic large subunit ribosomal RNA", at positions 58 to 640 of the family's 3401-position model. The record is from RNAcentral. Lineage: Eukaryota; Fungi; Glomeromycota.